RNAcentral lists this ribosomal RNA (465 nucleotides) under uncultured Klebsiella sp. RNAcentral describes it as "bacterial SSU rRNA". It matches the Rfam family "Bacterial small subunit ribosomal RNA", at positions 338 to 795 of the family's 1533-position model. Lineage: Bacteria; Pseudomonadati; Pseudomonadota; Gammaproteobacteria; Enterobacterales; Enterobacteriaceae. The record is from RNAcentral.
CCUACGGGCGGCUGCAGUGGGGAAUAUUGCACAAUGGGCGCAAGCCUGAUGCAGCCAUGCCGCGUGUGUGAAGAAGGCCUUCGGGUUGUAAAGCACUUUCAGCGGGGAGGAAGGCGUUAAGGUUAAUAACCUUGUCGAUUGACGUUACCCGCAGAAGAAGCACCGGCUAACUCCGUGCCAGCAGCCGCGGUAGUACGGAGGGUGCAAGCGUUAAUCGGAAUUACUGGGCGUAAAGCGCACGCAGGCGGUCUGUCAAGUCGGAUGUGAAAUCCCCGGGCUCAACCUGGGAACUGCAUUCGAAACUGGCAGGCUAGAGUCUUGUAGAGGGGGGUAGAAUUCCAGGUGUAGCGGUGAAAUGCGUAGAGAUCUGGAGGAAUACCGGUGGCGAAGGCGGCCCCCUGGACAAAGACUGACGCUCAGGUGCGAAAGCGUGGGGAGCAAACAGGAUUAGAUACCCGAGUAGUC